AGUGGCAGACGGGUGAGUAACAUGUGGGUACCUUCCCUUUGGUGAGGAAUAACACGAGGAAACUUGUGCUAAUACCUCAUAAGUCUUUACGGAGAAAGCUUCAUGCGCCAAUGGAUGAGCCCGCACUUGAUUAGUUAGUUGGUGGGGUAAAGGCCUACCAAGACUUUGAUCAAUAGCUGAUUUGAGAGGAUGAUCAGCCACAUUGGGACUGAGACACGGCCCAAACUCCUACGGGAGGCAGCAGUAAGGAAUCUCGCACAAUGGAGGAAACUCUGAUGCAGCGAUGCCGCGUGAGUGAAGAAGGCCCUUGGGUUGUAAAGCUCUUUCGUCGGGGAAGAAAAUGACUGUACCCGAAUAAGAAGGUCCGGCUAACUUCGUACCAGCAGCCGCGGUAAUACGAAGGGACCUAGCGUAGUUCGGAAUUACUGGGCUUAAAGAGUUCGUAUGUGGUUAAAAAAGUUGGUGGUGAAAUCCCAGAGCUUAACUCUGGAACUGCCAUCAAAACUUUUUAGCUAGAGUAUGAUAGAGGAAAGCAGAAUUUCUAGUGUAUAGGUGAAUUUCGUAGAUAUUAGAAAGAAUACCAAUU
Molecule: ribosomal RNA, 586 nt
Filed under: uncultured marine bacterium
Lineage: Bacteria
Description: bacterial SSU rRNA
Rfam family: Bacterial small subunit ribosomal RNA
Source: RNAcentral